UAACAGACAUGUCACUCUGUGAGGAAGUGAAUUGGUUCUCAGCCUAACCCACAAGUGAAUUGCUGUUUAUUAGAACUUGGGCUGUUUCCUUCGAGAGACGUAUGUAUUUUUAGACUUUGUAAACGUUAACGCUCACACAUACACACAUGCAGCCAGCUGCUUCGAACGAGAUGUGUGGCUCGUAGACAUUACGAAAUGCUCUUGAACUCGGCUUGAGAUCCUGGAAUAAUUAGGAUUUACCAAACAAGGAUUCUUAGAAACAACAGAUUUUUUUUUCUUUUAAGAAAGGAGAUUUGCUGCAGAUGAUGAUGUGUCUGGGACUUUGGGGGAGUCGGGGGAAGAGGAGAGGAAAAGGAAGAACAUUUUUGAAUUCUUCACUGGGAAAAGAUGAGCAGCACCGAGGGAAGCAAUUAUUCUCUCUCCUCAUAGAUGGCAACGCUAAAUCCAAAGGCAAAUCCUAAUGAUUCUGAAGCAGGCAGAGCUCACUCGACUUUAAAGACAUUCUCUUGCAGUUCACAUCAGAUCAUAGAUGAUUCCCAUGAAGAGGUUUGGGGGAGGGAGGGGGUGGUGGAGGCCAGAGAGUGGAGUAUGGUUUCUGCUUAUUGGUUUUCUUUCCUCUGAAACUAACCCGACCAACCUUGAUCUGGUGGAGGGAGUGAAACCCCUCUGGAGUAGAGCCAGUAGUCCGUUCCCACAGCUAUGGUCAUCAGGCUGAAGGCAGCGAAAGCACCAACGGUGGUUAAAAGCAUUUGAACACCUCGAUCAAACAGCCCCAUAAUUCUUCAUUAUAUAAACACCCAACCGACUUCUGGUUCUCGGAAGGGUGUGUGUUUGAGGGUGUGAAUACUAAAGCCAAAAAAAAAA
Molecule: long non-coding RNA, 864 nt
Organism: Fukomys damarensis (Damara mole-rat)
Lineage: Eukaryota; Metazoa; Chordata; Mammalia; Rodentia; Bathyergidae
Exons: 2
Source: RefSeq, a predicted model, not a curated record